AGUGAACGCUGGCGGUAGGCCUAACACAUGCAAGUCGAACGGCAGCACGGGAGCAAUCCUGGUGGCGAGUGGCGAACGGGUGAGUAAUGUAUCGGAACGUGCCCAGUCGUGGGGGAUAACGUAGCGAAAGCUACGCUAAUACCGCAUACGAUCUGUGGAUGAAAGCGGGGGACCGUAAGGCCUCGCGCGAUUGGAGCGGCCGAUAUCAGAUUAGGUAGUUGGUGGGGUAAAGGCCUACCAAGCCGACGAUCUGUAGCUGGUCUGAGAGGACGACCAGCCACACUGGGACUGAGGCACGGCCCAGACUCCUACGGGAGGCAGCAGUGGGGAAUUUUGGACAAUGGGCGCAAGCCUGAUCCAGCAAUGCCGCGUGCAGGAUGAAGGCCUUCGGGUUGUAAACUGCUUUUGUGCGGAGCGAAAAGGCUCUCUCUAAUACAGGGGGCUCAUGACGGUACCGUAAGAAUAAGCACCGGCUAACUACGUGCCAGCAGCCGCGGUAA
Molecule: ribosomal RNA, 500 nt
Filed under: uncultured bacterium
Lineage: Bacteria
Description: partial 16S ribosomal RNA
Rfam family: Bacterial small subunit ribosomal RNA
Source: RNAcentral